RNAcentral lists this long non-coding RNA (1068 nucleotides) under Cricetulus griseus (Chinese hamster). Its description in RNAcentral is "lncRNA (ENSCGRG00015041096.1)". The record is from RNAcentral. Lineage: Eukaryota; Metazoa; Chordata; Mammalia; Rodentia; Cricetidae.
CAUGUUCAGUUGAGGAAGCCAGGAAGUGAAUUCCUCCCUAAGAGACCAGCACCAGUCCUGCACUCUUGUUCCUCGACCAGUUUGAAGAGUUUGUCUAGCGCUUCCGCAGCAAGGACUUAAUCAGACUGCGCCAGAAUACAGAUGCUUGCUUACAGAUUGUAUAUUGGGUACCAAGUUUGAAAACAGACUCACUCCCAAAGCAUAGUAUUCUGUUAUACAAGUACUCAGUCACUAGUCAAAUGAUCGCUAGUCAUUAGCUUUCUCUUGCAAACAACAGCAAACCGAGGCUCUGGGACCCGCAACGCGAAGAAAACCAGGAAGGGCUGAGGGGGACGCCCAAGGACAAUGAGAAACAAAGCUGGGACGCUGAGGGCCGGCAGGCCAGAAAAAACGGCCGCGCUGUGCUGACCUCCGACCUCCUUCCCCAGGACUGAAUCUCCAAGGUCACACCUGGCGCUCCUGCUCGCAGGGAGCACGAAGGACCAACCGUACAAGUCCCAUGGAGUCGGCUGCAUCUGAGGCCCUGGGCGAACCGGCCUCCUUGAGGGCCGAGGCCGCGAGUCGGGAGCUCGCAGCUUCUUCCCCAGAGUCGGCCUGGCCUUCCAGCUCCGCGCGCGCGUGGGGCCUGGAAGCCGCGCCGUGGGUCCGGGCUCCCUGCUUUCCUUCCUUCCAGGGUGAGCUCACUUCCUCCGGCGCCGCUCCAUUCUCCGCGGCGAGAAGCCGCUCCGGCCUCCGGCGGCUGCCCGGCGGGCACUGGUUCCCGGCGGGGCCUUCCCCUCGCUCCUUUCCCGGCCUAGGGGCUGUUGGCCCCCGCCUUGGGGCGCGGUGGAAUUCCUCGCGGAAGAAAGCGGAAGUCGAAGAAACCUCAGAACUCAGAGGCAGCGGCUCCUGGCAGCACCCGCUGAAGGCCAGGCCUACGUUCCUCUAGAUGCCCAUUUGACUCUGGGCCAGGGCCCGAGGCUCUUUUCUUUCUUUCUUUCUUCCUUUCUGCCCCGCCCCCUUUCACCCUGUUUCUCACUUUAGCUCAUUCGUGUUUUUAAAAUUCAUAUUAAAAAGAGCAAUUUCGCG